UCCCUCUUUUAGCCGGAGACUUUUUCGCCAGCGAUUUCACUUUUUUAGCUUUAACACUUUUCGAUGGAGCCUUCUUGGCCGCCGGUGCCUUCUUCACUACCGGUUUUGGAGCUGGUGCCUUCCUUCCUGGUGAGGUUCUCGUCGAAGUUCUUGCAGCCUUCGCUGGCUUUUCCUUAGCUUUCGGCUUGGGAGCGGCUUUAGUCUUUGCCGCAGCUUUGGGCUUCGCCACAGCACUGCUCUUCGACUUGGCUGGAGCAGCUUUGGGUUUAGGAGCAGCUUUGGGCUUGGGAGUCGCCUUAGGCUUCGGCUUUGCAGCAGCCUUCGGCUUCGCAGGAGAUUUUGCAACAGCUUUGGGCUUAGCUACGGGUUUAGACUUCGGCUUAGCAGCUACAGGCUUCUUCUUCGCAGGAGAAGCAGGUUUCACAACUGCCGACUUCGCCGGUUUAAGCUUGAACGAACUCUUAACCUUCACCAACUUCCCGGAAGUCACAAGUUUCUUCAAAUGGAAUAACAAAAGCUUCUUAAAGUUCGGUGGAAGUUGCUUUUGCUUCUCUUCAAUAAACUUAGUGAUCGCAUACUGACUCGAACCAGUUCUUUCCUUCAACGUAACAAUCGCAUCCUUAAUCAUCUGAAAUCAAAACAUCAAACCAAAUCAACAAAACAGAUCCAAUACACGAAACAUUAAAUUCAAAAGAAAAUUCGAAUUUGAAUCAGCAACACACCUCUUCAUAUGGAGGAUGAGUUGGAGGAUUUCUUGGUUUUCUAGGAGCAGCAGGUUUCUUGUCUUUAGGUUCUUUCGACUUCUUAGACCUGCCAGACUUGUUCGCCGGAUUUUCUUCCGCUUGUUCGGCGUUAGUCGGCUCUGCCGCAGACUCCACCGGCACCACCGGUUCCUCAGUAGCCAUUGGAGUAGAAACAAGAUC
RNAcentral lists this long non-coding RNA (923 nucleotides) under Cucumis sativus (cucumber). Its description in RNAcentral is "long non-coding RNA (CSAT_LNC002436)". Lineage: Eukaryota; Viridiplantae; Streptophyta; Magnoliopsida; Cucurbitales; Cucurbitaceae. The record is from RNAcentral.